This 76-nucleotide microRNA precursor is filed under the name Loxodonta africana (African savanna elephant). RNAcentral's name for it is "miRNA (ENSLAFG00000033105.1)". The record is from RNAcentral. Lineage: Eukaryota; Metazoa; Chordata; Mammalia; Proboscidea; Elephantidae.
GGGAUCUUGUGAAAAUGCAGAUUCUGAUUCAGUAGGUCUGGGGUGGGCCCUGAGAGUCUGCAUUUUUAACAAGCUC